Coniochaeta pulveracea is the source of this 110-nucleotide non-coding RNA. The record is from the annotation of a GenBank genome assembly. Lineage: Eukaryota; Fungi; Ascomycota; Sordariomycetes; Coniochaetales; Coniochaetaceae.
GGGACCAUGGCGCAGUUGGUUAGCGCGCAGGUCUCAUAUCGUCUAGAUGUGAUCAGAUCAACCAGAUCUGGGUCAUCCUGAGGUCGUGAGUUCGAAACUCACUGGUCCCA